AACUGGCUUUGCAGACGCUGCCGCCGAGGAAAUUCUUGUACUACUAGCCAUGGUCAACCCUACCGUGUUCUUCGACAUUGCCGUCGACGGCGAGCCCUUGGGCCGCGUCUCCUUCGAGCUGUUUGCAGACAAGGUUCCAAAGACAGCAGAAAAUUUUCGUGCUCUGAGCACUGGAGAGAAAGGAUUUGGUUAUAAGGGUUCCUGCUUUCACAGAAUUAUUCCAGGGUUUAUGUGUCAGGGUGGUGACUUCACACGCCAUAAUGGCACUGGUGGAAGUCCAUCUAUGGGGAGAAAUUUGAAGAUGAGAACUUCAUCCUAAAGCAUACAGGUCCUGGCAUCUUGUCCAUGGCAAAUGCUGGACCCAACACAAAUGGUUCCCAGUUUUUCAUCUGCACUGCCAAGACUGAGUGGUUGGAUGGCAAGCAUGUGGUCUUUGGCAGAGUGAAAGAAGGCAUGAAUAUUGUGGAGGCCAUGGAGCGCUCUGGGUCCAGGAAUGGCAAGACCAGCAAGAAGAUCACCAUUGCUGACUGUGGACAACUCGAAUAAGUUUGUCUUGUGUUUUAUCUUAACCACCAGACCAUUCCUUCUGUAGCUCAGGAGAGCACCCC
RNA transcript from Piliocolobus tephrosceles (Ugandan red Colobus), 608 nucleotides. It is a transcript of the gene named peptidyl-prolyl cis-trans isomerase A pseudogene, with no coding region annotated. The record is from RefSeq and is a predicted model, not a curated record. The transcript has a single exon. Lineage: Eukaryota; Metazoa; Chordata; Mammalia; Primates; Cercopithecidae.